GUCCACACCGUAAACGUUGGGCGCUAGGUGUGGGGAACAUUCCACGUUCUCCGUGCCGCAGCUAACGCAUUAAGCGCCCCGCCUGGGGAGUACGGCCGCAAGGCUAAAACUCAAAGGAAUUGACGGGGGCCCGCACAAGCGGCGGAGCAUGUUGCUUAAUUCGAGGCAACGCGAAGAACCUUACCUGGGUUUGACAUGUAGAGAAAUCCCCAAGAGAUUGGGAGUCCGCAAGGGUUCUACACAGGUGGUGCAUGGCUGUCGU
Molecule: ribosomal RNA, 262 nt
Filed under: uncultured bacterium
Lineage: Bacteria
Description: partial 16S ribosomal RNA
Rfam family: Bacterial small subunit ribosomal RNA
Source: RNAcentral